Molecule: ribosomal RNA, 363 nt
Filed under: Triticum aestivum (bread wheat)
Lineage: Eukaryota; Viridiplantae; Streptophyta; Magnoliopsida; Poales; Poaceae
Description: partial small subunit ribosomal RNA
Source: RNAcentral
AUGUGCAGAAGGUCACUACAUCCCCAUGUUCCCAGCACAUAUAAGCAUGUGCACCUUUGUUCUCUUCUUCCAAGUAACCAGCAGCACAGCACAGCAUCAUCUCUAUGUCUUCCGACUCCGAUGAAUAUCAUCUUUUGUAUUGGGAACUUUACAGAAGCAAAACUCUCAAGUCUCAACCCUGAACUACAACACCACCCGACCGAGAGGAGCGUCGAACGCACUGUAUCAACUCCAGCAGACAAAGCUCCACCCCCACACCCAAGAACACGCACCCACGACGGAUCUGAGACUGGUAAAAACAGCAGAAAACCCCCCACCCCUCUACUACAUCUACUAAGCAGCUAUGGCGGCGUGCACCGAUGA